Molecule: ribosomal RNA, 166 nt
Filed under: uncultured bacterium
Lineage: Bacteria
Description: partial 16S ribosomal RNA
Rfam family: Bacterial small subunit ribosomal RNA
Source: RNAcentral
GCCGGCCUGAGAGGGCGGCCGGCCACAUUGGGACUGAGACACGGCCCAGACUCCUGCGGGAGGCAGCAGUGGGGAAUAUUGCACAAUGGGGGAAACCCUGAUGCAGCGACGCCGCGUGAGCGAGGAAGUACCUCCCCCCCCAAAGCUCUGUCAGCAGGGAAGAAAA